This 29-nucleotide non-coding RNA is filed under the name Mus musculus (house mouse). The record is from RNAcentral. Lineage: Eukaryota; Metazoa; Chordata; Mammalia; Rodentia; Muridae.
UAGAAAUUGCUUUAAAAUCGUAAAAGGGG